GCAGUCGAGCGGACAGAUGGGAGCUUGCUCCCUGAUGUUAGCGGCGGACGGGUGAGUAACACGUGGGUAACCUGCCUGUAAGACUGGGAUAACUCCGGGAAACCGGGGCUAAUACCGGAUGGUUGUUUGAACCGCAUGGUUCAAACAUAAAAGGUGGCUUCGGCUACCACUUACAGAUGGACCCGCGGCGCAUUAGCUAGUUGGUGAGGUAACGGCUCACCAAGGCAACGAUGCGUAGCCGACCUGAGAGGGUGAUCGGCCACACUGGGACUGAGACACGGCCCAGACUCCUACGGGAGGCAGCAGUAGGGAAUCUUCCGCAAUGGACGAAAGUCUGACGGAGCAACGCCGCGUGAGUGAUGAAGGUUUUCGGAUCGUAAAGCUCUGUUGUUAGGGAAGAACAAGUACCGUUCGAAUAGGGCGGUACCUUGACGGUACCUAACCAGAAAGCCACGGCUAACUACGUGCCAGCAGCCGCGGUAAUACGUAGGUGGCAAGCGUUGUCCGGAAUUAUUGGGCGUAAAGGGCUCGCAGGCGGUUUCUUAAGUCUGAUGUG
This 556-nucleotide ribosomal RNA is filed under the name Bacillus subtilis. RNAcentral's name for it is "bacterial SSU rRNA". It matches the Rfam family "Bacterial small subunit ribosomal RNA", at positions 57 to 596 of the family's 1533-position model. Lineage: Bacteria; Bacillati; Bacillota; Bacilli; Caryophanales; Bacillaceae. The record is from RNAcentral.